This 253-nucleotide ribosomal RNA is filed under the name uncultured bacterium. Its description in RNAcentral is "partial 16S ribosomal RNA". It matches the Rfam family "Bacterial small subunit ribosomal RNA", at positions 524 to 776 of the family's 1533-position model. The record is from RNAcentral.
UACGGGGGGGGUAAGCGUUGUCCGGAAUUACUGGGCGUAAAGGGCUCGUAGGCGGCCAACUAAGUCAGACGUGAAAUCCCUCAGCUUAACUGGGGAACUGCGUCUGAUACUGGAUGGCUUGGAUUCGGGAGAGGAAUGCGGAAUUCCAGGUGUAGCGGUGAAAUGCGUAGAUAUCUGGAGGAACACCGGUGGCGAAGGCGGCAUUCUGGACCGAUAUUGACGCUGAGGAGCGAAAGCCAGGGGAGCAAACGGG